Long non-coding RNA from Puntigrus tetrazona (Sumatra barb), 838 nucleotides. RefSeq lists it as uncharacterized. Lineage: Eukaryota; Metazoa; Chordata; Actinopteri; Cypriniformes; Cyprinidae. The record is from RefSeq and is a predicted model, not a curated record. The transcript has 2 exons.
CACACACACACACACACACACACACACACACACACACACACACACACACACACUCACACACACACACACACUCACACACACACGAGAUAUCAUCAUGUCAUUUUGAAAAUGUUACCUUCAGUGUAUUUUUACCGACAGAUAGACUCAACACACCCAGCAGUAAUAUCUACAACAAGACUAUUUCAGUAUAAACCGCUGAUGGUCGUAUUAAUAUUGAAUUAGCUUUAUUUUAUAUUUUCAUUUAAAUCUUACUCAUUUUUCCUUAUUAAGUGCUUGUGUCAGUUUUGUCUUUAUUCAUUUGUUUUAAUAUAAAGUUAGAUGAAUUCACUGAGGCACCGUUUUCAAAGUUUUUCCUAAUUUCAGCACUUUAUUUUAAACAUAUUUCAGUUUUAUGCGAUCAUAAGCAGCAUGGGUGUAUUUCUAACUCAUAGUUUGGGUCCAAAUGAGUUUUAGUUUAUGCCAAAAAUCAUUAGGAUAUUAAUUAAAGAUCUCGUUCCACGAAGACCCUACUGACCAUCAAUCACUGUAAAGAGCUCCGCCGGUGACGUCAAACACCAUCACACCUUCAAGAGCCUCCGCGUGCAGGACGUCACAGAUCUGCUCUGAUCUCAGGGGUGUGUUUUAUCACCGCGCCGAUGCACUCCAGCGAAGACUCGGCACGACCAGCGUUCCUUUGAAGGGAGAACCCAGGAGGAUAUGAAUGAGUUCAGCUGAUAAUCAGAGACACCUGAAAGGAUCUGACGAGGACUAAACCUGCAUCCCAGACUACAGACACUGAGCUGUGUGUGAGCUCUGUUCGGUGCUUCGAUUCAAUAAAAAUGAUUGAUUGAUUGAUUGA